UUUACUGCAGUCUGCACUGGCAUUUUGUCAUCGACCUACGUCAAGAGACAUCAUAAGAAACAGCUCAGUGAAACUUAUUGUUGCAGUUCCUGGAGGCAAGUUGAUGAGGUUGUGGUUCACGAUGUCACAUGAUGUCCUCUUUAGGAGGACAGAUGGGAAAAAUGUCUCUCGGAUCUCAGUACCAGGAAUAGAUGUAUUUCUCCUGAGAAUUUCUUCUGCAUCUCUCUUUUGUUGGGUCCCUUGUUUGCCGGAUCUCAUAUUUUCCUUUUGGUUUUAUGCACUUGGUUUGGUGGAACUCAUCCUGCAAUAGCUUCCUGAGAAAAAGUUCAUGAAAGGAUUCAGAACUGGAGAAACAAGAAAAGACAAUGUGUGAAAGCAGUAGCCGACAGACACGGAGAGAGGCAGUAUUCAGACUUCAUGAGUAAGCAGAAGCUGUGAAUAAACAAGAGCUCUGAGCGAACAAAAGCCACGAGGCAGCACAAAGGUACGCAAAGUAACGAUGGAGUGAUAGAAGGGUCAGAGAGGUAGCAUUCCGGAGGUUCACAGAGGCUUCGAGAGCGCAGCUGCAUUUCCUGGCUCACGGCCCCCUUCCAUCCUCAAAACCAGCAACGGCAAGGUGAGUCCUCACAUGGAGUCACUCCACCCUCUAUGUCUGGUAUCACAUUUCCUUCUGACUUUUCUGCUUGCCUCUUCUAUAUUAAGGACCCUUAUGAUUACAGAGGGCCCACCAGAAUAAUCCAGGAUAAUCGCCUUCUAUUAAAGUCAGCUGAUUUGCACCCUUAAUUCUAUUUGCAACCCUUGCCAUGGUGCCAUGAGUUCCCUUGCCCUUUGGUGUGAUAUAUUCAUAGGUUCCAGAGAUAGGGUAUGUGUAUCUUUGGGUUCUCUUACUCCGCCUUCAACAACCAUUAUCCAUUAUGUGCUGCUCUCUGCUUCUAAACCAGAAUUUAGAAUUUAGUGAACUCCCUCAGAUCCCAGGCUCGAGCCAUCUUCUUUAUGAUGGUGUCCAUGAAUCCCAUGCUGGAGGAGUUGUUCUCUGGCCUCACUGGCUCGCUUCACCUAAUCUGACCUUUAUAUAAACUAACCCGAGGUGCCACACACUGAGCCUAAAAGUACUCUGGUUGCUUUGCCCAAACUGGUGGGUAGGAGAAACUUUUUUAUUUCUUCACAUUCAGAUUUUUUAUUGUGAUAGCCAGCUCAUAGAUCCAGUUUUUCUUUGAUGGAAUAUUUUCAAACGUAAGAAGCUUAUCUGUCCAUUCUGUGUCACAGCCUUAUCUGAUAGUACUUUCAUUAGCUCGAUUAAUGCCUGAGGACAGUUUACACAAACUACAAUAAUCAUUAGCUGCCAGUUCCUAAAACUACUCAGAGGUGCCUAUACUGUUUUAGAUAUGUACAUAAAGGCACACUCAUACCUUCUUAGAUACAUGCAUGAAGGCACACUCAUCUACACACACAGUGAUCAAUGUGGUGGGAAAAAGAUCUUAAACAUCUGUUAAGAUGUGCUAGAUGUCCACAGGGUAAUGUAUGGAAGUGUUGAAUUACUAUAUUGUACCCCUGAAACUCAUAUAACACUGUA
This is a non-coding RNA of Callorhinus ursinus (northern fur seal), 1573 nucleotides long. The record is from RefSeq and is a predicted model, not a curated record. NCBI's taxonomy places the organism in Eukaryota, Metazoa, Chordata, Mammalia, Carnivora, Otariidae.